UCUCUAGUGGCGCAAUUGGUUAGCGAGUGGUACUUAUAAUGCCGAGGUUGUGAGUUCGAUCCUCACCUAGGGAA
This 74-nucleotide transfer RNA is filed under the name Trichonephila clavata. Its description in RNAcentral is "tRNA-Ile". It matches the Rfam family "tRNA". Rfam says of the family: Transfer RNA (tRNA) molecules are approximately 80 nucleotides in length. Lineage: Eukaryota; Metazoa; Arthropoda; Arachnida; Araneae; Nephilidae. The record is from RNAcentral.